Molecule: ribosomal RNA, 255 nt
Filed under: uncultured bacterium
Lineage: Bacteria
Description: partial 16S ribosomal RNA
Rfam family: Bacterial small subunit ribosomal RNA
Source: RNAcentral
UACAGAGGUCUCAAGCGUUGUUCGGAUUCAUUGGGCGUAAAGGGUGCGUAGGUGGCGCUGUAAGUCGGGUGUGAAAUUUCGGAGCUUAACUCCGAAACUGCAUUCGAUACUGCGGUGCUUUGAGGACUGGAGAGGAGACUGGAAUUCGAUGGUGUAGCAGUGAAAUGCGUAGAGAUCAUGAGGAAGACCAGUGGCGAAGGCGGGUCUCUGGACAGUUCCUGACACUGAGACACGAAGGCCAGGGGAGCAAACGGG